UGGGGAAUAUUGCACAAUGGGGGAAACCCUGAUGCAGCGACGCCGCGUGAGCGAAGAAGGUUUUCGAAUCGUAAAGCUCUGUCCUAUGAGAAGAUAAUGACGGUAUCAUAGGAGGAAGCCCCGGCUAAAUACGUGCCAGCAGCCGCGGUAAUACGUAGGUGGCGAGCGUUAUCCGGAUUUACUGGGCGUAAAGGGCGUGUAGGCGGCUAGAUAAGUGUGAUGUUUAAAUCCAAGGCUUAACCUUGGGGUUCAUUACAAACUGUUUAGCUUGAGUGCUGGAGAGGAUAGUGGAAUUCCUAGUGUAGCGGUAAAAUGCGUAGAUAUUAGGAGGAACACCGGUGGCGAAAGCGGCUCUCUGGUCUGUAACUGACGCUGAGGCUCGAAAGCGUGGGGAGCGAACAGG
Molecule: ribosomal RNA, 403 nt
Filed under: Verrucomicrobiota bacterium
Lineage: Bacteria; Pseudomonadati; Verrucomicrobiota
Description: Verrucomicrobia bacterium partial 16S ribosomal RNA
Rfam family: Bacterial small subunit ribosomal RNA
Source: RNAcentral